UUCCGGUUGAUCCUGCCGGAGGCCAUUGCUAUUGGAGUCCGAUUUAGCCAUGCUAGUCGCACGAACUCAGAUUCGUGGCAUAUAGCUCAGUAACACGUGGCCAAACUACCCUACAGACCGCGAUAACCUCGGGAAACUGAGGCCAAUAGCGGAUACCACUCUCAGGCUGGAGUGCCGAGAGUGAGAAACGUUCCGGCGCUGUAGGAUGUGGCUGCGGCCGAUUAGGUUGAUGGUGGGGUAACGGCCCACCAUGCCAAUAAUCGGUACGGGUUGUGAGAGCAAGAACCCGGAGACGGUAUCUGAGACAAGAUACCGGGCCCUACGGGGCGCAGCAGGCGCGAAACCUUUACACUGCACGACAGUGCGAUAAGGGGACUCCAAGUGCGAGGGCAUAUAGCCCUCGCUUUUCUGUACCGUAGGGAAGUACAGGAACAAGUGCUGGGCAAGACCGGUGCCAGCCGCCGCGGU
Molecule: ribosomal RNA, 468 nt
Filed under: uncultured archaeon
Lineage: Archaea
Description: bacterial SSU rRNA
Rfam family: Archaeal small subunit ribosomal RNA
Source: RNAcentral